UGUAGUGUAGUUACUCAGAGUCGCCUCUUAGAGAAAGCCAUCAGGUCACUGACUCUGGUGUUCACAGCCCAACUAACGCCAGCUCUCCACUUUCAGAACGCAGCAGCCCUGGGUACUUAUUUCAGCAUCUUGUGUAUUUUGGCCUGCCUGCCCUUAAAGGAUCUGAGAAAGCUCUGGUUCUUAUCUUGUCUCACCUGCCUGCCUUCAGCAUGCCUAGACACACAACCGAACAUGCAGGUCAAAGAAAACAGAAAAGAGGAAUGGAAGGAAGGAGAGAGGAAGUCGUGGAGAGCCUGAAAUUUCUGCCAUAGAAAGUAGUGUUUGGCCUGUCCCUCCUCCUGGCUAAAUGACCCUAGGUCUUCCGGUUGCUCCAUUUUGAAGUGAGUGAAGGAAUUGAACUUAAACUGAAGGAGCACGGACAUCAGCAGGAAGACGGCAUCAGGGCAUCAGCACUCCUCCUGGGGACCAUGUGCAUGCAGCUCAGACAGCACCUGAAGCCAAGACAGCUGCACAGUCUCAAAUACACAAAAUUGCCCGCCUCGGAUCACAGGACAGGCUUUCCAACGAACAAGUGCUAAUUCACUGAAGAAAUGCCUUGUUUGGAAGAGAUGAUCAAUAACUACAAUGAGCUAAGCAGAAGUUUAAGAUCAAUGUACUGGGGCUGGUGAGAUAGCUCAGUGGGUAAGAGCACCCGACUGCUCUU
Long non-coding RNA from Mus musculus (house mouse), 703 nucleotides. RefSeq annotates it as predicted gene, 53446. Lineage: Eukaryota; Metazoa; Chordata; Mammalia; Rodentia; Muridae. The transcript has 3 exons. The record is from RefSeq and is a predicted model, not a curated record.